UUUUCACGCGUGUGCUCAGUCAUGUAAACAGACGAGUUAUUAUGUAGCUUGUCUGCUCUUCACGCGUGUGCUCAGUCAUGUAAACAGAUGAGUUUAUAUGUAGCUGUCUGCUCUUCACGCGUGUGCUCAGUCAUGUAAACAGAUGAGUUUAUAUGUAGCUGUCUGCUCUUCACGCGUGGUGCUCAUCACGUAAACAGAUGAGUUUAUAUGUAGCUGUCUGCUC
This 223-nucleotide long non-coding RNA is filed under the name Neogobius melanostomus (round goby). RNAcentral describes it as "lncRNA (ENSNMLG00000016195.1)". The record is from RNAcentral. Lineage: Eukaryota; Metazoa; Chordata; Actinopteri; Gobiiformes; Gobiidae.